This 430-nucleotide long non-coding RNA is filed under the name Moschus moschiferus (Siberian musk deer). RNAcentral describes it as "lncRNA (ENSMMSG00000007390.1)". The record is from RNAcentral. Lineage: Eukaryota; Metazoa; Chordata; Mammalia; Artiodactyla; Moschidae.
CGGCCCGGGGCGAAGCGGCCGUGGGGCCAAACUGGGCGCCGGGCGCGAGCCGAGGCCGCCGCGGACCCCGCAAUCCCGCAGCCGGCGACUGGAGCCCACCUCUGCGGAGACAAAGGCAGGAGUGCCAUUCCUUUCGCUCUUUUCAUGGAAGCUGCUCCAGGGAACCCCAGCUGAAGAUGCGUGCGGAUUCAGCAAACAGUGGGAAAGCAGAGGACACAAGUUUGGAUGUGAAAUAGUAACACCUUCUGCAGUGGAGAAUAAACAAUAAUUACACAAAAUUGAGCAUGUUGUUGGACCUUCCCAAACAGUAACACUUCAUGCUGGUCUAUACAUGUCUAUACAUUCAGAACAUUGUUUAGUUCUGAAACAUUCUGAGAAAUAACCUCAAUUGUCAAUUUCCCUCUACCCAAAAAAAGGCAGAGUUUAUGAC